This 506-nucleotide ribosomal RNA is filed under the name uncultured bacterium. RNAcentral describes it as "partial 16S ribosomal RNA". It matches the Rfam family "Bacterial small subunit ribosomal RNA", at positions 29 to 523 of the family's 1533-position model. The record is from RNAcentral.
AGUGAACGCUGGCGGUAGGCCUAACACAUGCAAGUCGAACGGCAGCACAGAGGAGCUUGCUCCUUGGGUGGCGAGUGGCGGACGGGUGAGGAAUACAUCGGAAUCUACUCUGUCGUGGGGGAUAACGUAGGGAAACUUACGCUAAUACCGCAUACGACCUACGGGUGAAAGCAGGGGAUCUUCGGACCUGGCGCGGUUGAAUGAGCCGAUGUCGGAUUAGCUAGUUGGCGGGGUAAAGGCCCACAAAGGCGACGAUCCGUAGCUGGUCUGAGAGGAUGAUCAGCCACACUGGAACUGAGACACGGUCCAGACUCCUACGGGAGGCAGCAGUGGGGAAUAUUGGACAAUGGGCGCAAGCCUGAUCCAGCCAUACCGCGUGGGUGAAGAAGGCCUUCGGGUUGUAAAGCCCUUUUGUUGGGAAAGAAAUCCAUCUGGUUAAUACCCGGGUGGGAUGACGGUACCCAAAGAAUAAGCACCGGCUAACUUCGUGCCAGCCGCCGCCGUAA